AUGACGGCAAUAGUUCAAUACACAUUUGACAAGAUGAAUGCGUACUUUCUAAAGUACUCGAUGGAAACGGAUGCACAGAUAGCGGGUGAGAACCCGCGCAAGUACAAGUACAAGUUCCCACCCAAGGUUGAUGAAUGGUUAGAAUUUCAAUCACGGAAGGCGGACUCAGAAGAAGCUAUAUUAUAUGACAACGAAGAGUGGAAGUACGAAGUGAAAGAGCCAGGAGGAACCACAAACGAUGGCCGCCAACAUGGAGGUCGGGCUUUCAAGGUGUCAUUAACACAAUGUGAUUGCUCUUGCGGGAGGCCAUUGUUGCUUCAUCUCCCAUGCUCACACUUGUAUACUGCCGGUCGCGUUAGGAAUGUGGACAUCAAUCACCCAUGCACCAUGAGGGAGUCGGAGUUCUCAAUCAUGACGGUCAAGAAAACAUGGGCUCCCCGCUUUCACCCAUAUUUUGACCAAUCACAAUGGUCGGAGUACCAUGGUGUUCAACUAUGGUCGGAUCCA
This 507-nucleotide ribosomal RNA is filed under the name Triticum aestivum (bread wheat). RNAcentral's name for it is "partial small subunit ribosomal RNA". Lineage: Eukaryota; Viridiplantae; Streptophyta; Magnoliopsida; Poales; Poaceae. The record is from RNAcentral.